AGAGUUUGAUCCUGGCUCAGGAUGAACGCUGGCGGCGUGCUUAACACAUGCAAGUCGAACGAUGAUCCCAGCUUGCUGGGGGAUUAGUGGCGAACGGGUGAGUAACACGUGAGUAACCUGCCCUUAACUCUGGGAUAAGCCUGGGAAACUGGGUCUAAUACCGGAUAUGACUCCUCAUCGCAUGGUGGGGGGUGGAAAGCUUUAUUGUGGUUUUGGAUGGACUCGCGGCCUAUCAGCUUGUUGGUGAGGUAAUGGCUCACCAAGGCGACGACGGGUAGCCGGCCUGAGAGGGUGACCGGCCACACUGGGACUGAGACACGGCCCAGACUCCUACGGGAGGCAGCAGUGGGGAAUAUUGCACAAUGGGCGAAAGCCUGAUGCAGCGACGCCGCGUGAGGGAUGACGGCCUUCGGGUUGUAAACCUCUUUCAGUAGGGAAGAAGCGAAAGUGACGGUACCUGCAGAAGAAGCGCCGGCUAACUACGUGCCAGCAGCCGCGGUAAUACGUAGGGCGCAAGCGUUAUCCGGAAUUAUUGGGCGUAAAGAGCUCGUAGGCGGUUUGUCGCGUCUGCCGUGAAAGUCCGGGGCUCAACUCCGGAUCUGCGGUGGGUACGGGCAGACUAGAGUGAUGUAGGGGAGACUGGAAUUCCUGGUGUAGCGGUGAAAUGCGCAGAUAUCAGGAGGAACACCGAUGGCGAAGGCAGGUCUCUGGGCAUUAACUGACGCUGAGGAGCGAAAGCAUGGGGAGCGAACAGGAUUAAAUACCCUUGUAGUCC
Molecule: ribosomal RNA, 775 nt
Filed under: uncultured Arthrobacter sp.
Lineage: Bacteria; Bacillati; Actinomycetota; Actinomycetes; Micrococcales; Micrococcaceae
Description: bacterial SSU rRNA
Rfam family: Bacterial small subunit ribosomal RNA
Source: RNAcentral